Molecule: long non-coding RNA, 1159 nt
Organism: Syngnathoides biaculeatus (alligator pipefish)
Lineage: Eukaryota; Metazoa; Chordata; Actinopteri; Syngnathiformes; Syngnathidae
Exons: 3
Source: RefSeq, a predicted model, not a curated record
ACUCUCCAGGAUUGUUGUCUCUCUGAGGCAAUCACCAUGAAGACUCUUGUCUCAUUGAGUGCCCGGUCCACAGACUUCAGUCCUUACAAAUUGCCUUUGAUGCGGGUGAACUUUAAACAAAAGUCACCGCAAAGUAAACGUACCAUCAGCAGAAAGACUUUAUGUAGCCGGCGGUACACCUGAUGGUGCAAGUGAGAAGAAUCCGUGGGAGAAUUUAUGUGGAUGUACAGUCGCGGGAAUCCUGUACAAGUUUCCCAAAGCUAUUUGGCACAGAUGUUUUCACGCCGCUAACGAAAAGCAAAAUGUUCAUCCGACCAUCUUCCAAGUUUGGAUCUUUCCAAAGAGAUGAUUUUGACUCCAUACCAGAUGGAUUUGAGGAACAAAACAUCUAGCGUGCCAAAUGAAAUCAUUCAGAUUCACACUUCGUCCUAAUAUCCUCAUUCCUUGUUGUGUUGUGAGAAAUCAUAAACUGUCGUGGUCCUGCCGGUCCGAGCCCUGGCGGUGCAGUUCCCCUACACACCUGCGUUGACGAGGAGGACUCAUCUGCGAUAACGAACCCCAGUACUUAUAGGACCCAGCGGUCGGUCUGGCUUUGCCAGGUCGCUGCCAUCCAUGCCUCGUUCCAGCACUUCCUUGCUUCUGAUCCCGAAUCCCGGCGUAUCGACCUCCGCCUGUCCUCCGACCAACCCAGCUAAGUGUACGACCAACGCAGUACUGCACCAAGUGUUGAUGACAGUGUCAUAAAGCGACGUAAAGAUGCGUUGGGACCUACAACUUCCACGACGAUGAAUAAAGUUCUCCCGAGAACACAGUUACUGUUUGCGGAUUAUUGGAGCUCUGUUAAAGGUUGGCUGCCUCUCCUCUCCUCUCAACGUGUCACUCAGCCCUUUGUGUGCAAAUCCCACGUCUUACUCCCCCGGAGUGAAAUAUUCAAUUUAGAUGCCAUUUGUUUCACAGUCAGCAAUACGGGACACGUGAGCACCGUCCUUUUGAUUUUUUUUUUUUUAAAUAUAUAUAUAUACACCGGCGUUACGAUCAGCAAAUGCACUCAUCACCCUUCACCCGGACGAGCGUCCAUUCGCUUUUCACAUUUAUGGUACUCGCUGGAUUUCCGCAGAAAUAAUGCAUGUGUAAUAUACAUUAAAAUGAAUUCUGCUCA